This 409-nucleotide ribosomal RNA is filed under the name uncultured bacterium. RNAcentral describes it as "bacterial SSU rRNA". It matches the Rfam family "Bacterial small subunit ribosomal RNA", at positions 358 to 765 of the family's 1533-position model. The record is from RNAcentral.
CGGAUUGCAUGGGGGGAACCCUGAUCAGCCUGCCGCGUGUGUGAAGAAGGCCUUUUGGUUGUAAAGCACUUUAAGCGAGGAGGAGGCUACUUGGAUUAAUACUCUGAGAUAGUGGACGUUACUCGCAGAAUAAGCACCGGCUAACUCUGUGCCAGCAGCCGCGGUAAUACAGAGGGUGCAAGCGUUAAUCGGAUUUACUGGGCGUAAAGCGUGCGUAGGUGGCCAAUUAAGUCAAAUGUGAAAUCCCUGAGCUUAACUUAGGAAUUGCAUUCGAUACUGGUUGGCUAGAGUAUGGGAGAGGAUGGUAGAAUUCCAGGUGUAGCGGUGAAAUGCGUAGAGAUCUGGAGGAAUACCGAUGGCGAAGGCAGCCAUCUGGCCUAAUACUGACACUGAGGUACGAAAGCAUGGG